GGAAGCACCCUAAGCGAACUGCCUCAGAUAAUGGGGAGGAAGGUGGGGAUGACGUCAAGUCCUCAUGGCCUUUAUGCCCAGGGCUACACACGUGCUACAAUGGCCGGUACAAAGCGUCGCCAACCCGCAAGGGGGAGCCAAUCGCUAAAAACCGGUCUCAGUUCGGAUUGCAGGCUGCAACUCGCCUGCAUGAAGCUGGAAUCGCUAGUAAUCGCGUAUCAGAACGACGCGGUGAAUACGUUCCCGGGCCU
RNAcentral lists this ribosomal RNA (251 nucleotides) under uncultured bacterium. RNAcentral's name for it is "partial 16S ribosomal RNA". It matches the Rfam family "Bacterial small subunit ribosomal RNA", at positions 1131 to 1381 of the family's 1533-position model. The record is from RNAcentral.